GGAGAGGUGCCAGAGUGGUCGAAUGGACCGGACUCGAAAUCCGGAGUACGGCUUGCUGUACCGUGGGUUCGAAUCCCACCCUCUCCGCCA
This 90-nucleotide transfer RNA is filed under the name Burkholderiales bacterium. Its description in RNAcentral is "tRNA-Ser". It matches the Rfam family "tRNA". From Rfam's summary of the family: Transfer RNA (tRNA) molecules are approximately 80 nucleotides in length. Their secondary structure includes four short double-helical elements and three loops (D, anti-codon, and T loops). The record is from RNAcentral. Lineage: Bacteria; Pseudomonadati; Pseudomonadota; Betaproteobacteria; Burkholderiales.